UACGGCGGGUGCAAGCGUUGUUCGGAAUCACUGGGCGUAAAGCGCGUGUAGGCGGCUUCGUAAGUCUGGUGUGAAAGCCCGGGGCUCACCCCCGGAAGUGCACUGGAGACUGCGAGGCUUGAGUACCGGAGAGGAAGGUGGAAUUCCUGGUGUAGCGGUGAAAUGCGUAGAUAUCAGGAGGAACACCGGUGGCGAAGGCGGCCUUCUGGACGGAUACUGACGCUGAGACGCGAAAGCGUGGGGAGCAAACAGU
RNAcentral lists this ribosomal RNA (253 nucleotides) under uncultured bacterium. RNAcentral describes it as "partial 16S ribosomal RNA". It matches the Rfam family "Bacterial small subunit ribosomal RNA", at positions 524 to 776 of the family's 1533-position model. The record is from RNAcentral.